This is a non-coding RNA of Ictidomys tridecemlineatus (thirteen-lined ground squirrel), 72 nucleotides long. The record is from Rfam. Lineage: Eukaryota; Metazoa; Chordata; Mammalia; Rodentia; Sciuridae.
GGGGUCGUGGCUUAGCGGUAGAGUGCUUGCCUAGCAUGCGUGAGGCACUGGGUUCAAUCCUCAGCACCACUA